Molecule: long non-coding RNA, 227 nt
Filed under: Ananas comosus (pineapple)
Lineage: Eukaryota; Viridiplantae; Streptophyta; Magnoliopsida; Poales; Bromeliaceae
Description: long non-coding RNA (ACOM_LNC035171)
Source: RNAcentral
AGCCAAGAAUGAGGUGAAGAAGAGCUCCAAAACCUUCUUCUCCUUCUUCUCCUUCCUUUUCUUCCUCUCUUUUUCCUUCUUUUUCCUCUCUUUUUCCUUUUCUCCUUCUUCUCCUUCUAUUCGGUUAGAGAGAGAGAGAGCUAGAGAGAGAGUGAGCUGGGGAGAGUGAGAGGGAAGAGAGCUGAGAGUGAGGGGAUUAAGUCCCCUAUUGUAACAAAAUGCUAAAG